AGGCUGGUCCGUGCGACUGGUGAGCCCUGUCCGCCAGAGAGGGCUUCGUAAGAGGGAACCCGGUGAGAAUCCGGGACUGCCCCGCAGCGGUGAGUGGGAACGACCGCCGUCAUACGCACUGGACCCGGCCGGGUCUGGGAAGCGACGGCCAUUAGGUGUCCCGUGACCUUCACGAGACGAGCCCACGAGUCCGAAGACCUGCCCGUUGCCCGUGCGCGAC
This 220-nucleotide non-coding RNA is filed under the name Streptomyces sp. The record is from RNAcentral. Lineage: Bacteria; Bacillati; Actinomycetota; Actinomycetes; Kitasatosporales; Streptomycetaceae.